CCUAGAAUUUGAGAUAUCUAUAUAAAGAACCCCAAUUUCUACCAAAUGACAUAGACACAAAUCAACAUACAUACAUGUGAUUUUCAGGAAGAACCUUCUUUGGUUUUAUAUUGCCUAACGACUAUACUUAGGGUUCGAUUUGCUCACUACCCUUCUUAGUUAAAAUAUUUGUUUGUAUUUGGUGAGAACCUUUGUGUUUUCAUCGUGGUUUGUGGCUAUGAGGUGUGGAGAAAAAGAAGGUGCCCCAAAUGCUCCAUUCUCAACCUAGGCUACCACUAGUAAAGGCAUAUCUCCUCUUGUGAUGCCUCGUACUCCUGUGCCUUGGUGUAAUUGCUGAUCUAUAUGCUUGUUCCACUCUAGUAAUAUUCUUCACAUUCCUGUUAUCCGUGUUACUCUUCAUUUUACCCGUAUGUAACUCGUAGAUAUGGAAUUUUUGAUUUAUCACUGUUAAUGGUUUUCUUGUGUUCCACAUCCAUGUCCAUGAAAUUUUGAUAAUUGACUGGUCCAUUAUCAAGUGCUAUAUUUUCUAAUGCAUUUGCUAAUUUGUUCCUUUCCCUUAGUAUAUGUGUGAAUUUGUGUUGAAUGCCUUCAUAUAGACCCUUAAUUUCCUCAAUAAUCUCUGUUAUGUGCCAUGGUGGUUUCCAUUCAUCUGUCAAAAUCCUUUACACUAAGAGAGAGUCAGUUUGAAAUAUUACUCUAUCCAUAUUCUUGCUUUUACACCAUUUGCUUGAUUCCAAUAUUGCCAUUCCUUCUUUUUCACAAUUCCCAUAUAAUAGUUGGUAUAGCUUGAAAUACUGGUUUGAGCCUAUCAUUAAUAUGUUGUCUUCACCAUUUCACUAUAAUCUGUCGUAAUUAUAAUCCCUCAAUGUUUAUAUCUACAAAAGAAGAAAAAUAGGACCAAGUCCUGUUAGCAGAAAAAGACUUAGGAAAUAGAUGUUGAGCUGUCUCCUCCAUUGGGCCCGGACAACACCAACAUCUAGAAGCUAAGUUGAUAAUCAUCCUUUUUAACACUUCAUCAAUAGCCACCUUAAACUUCCAACCCCUCCACAUAAAGAAAGAUAUCUCAAAUGGUAGUCCCUUAAUCUAUAUAUACUUGAACACCUCAUUCUUUUGCCCUCUCAAUCUCAAAUAAUCCCAAACUGACUUGACUGAGAACUUGCCCUUGUUAUUCAAAAUGCACCUAUGUUCAUCUUCUGCUUCAUCAUCUCUAGGUGGUUUAAUUGUGUCCACUAUGUGUUGAACUAUUUCCCUAGAUAAAAUUGUUUCUAGCUUGUCAACAUCCCAUCUUCCCUCCUUUACCAUCUCACUUACAUUCUGAAUUGUGUCAUCAUAUACUUCCCCUCCUUUUGCAUAAUACAAAGCCCCCAGACCAAUCCAAUUAUCAUAACAAAAAAGAGUAUUCCCACUCUUUAUUUGCCACGAAAUAUGAUAUUCUAUGAUGUCCCUUUCCUGCAACAUUUUCUUCCAGCUCUGGGACCCAUAUUUCCAUUGCGCCACUACUGGAUUAACCUUCUUACAAUAUUUAUUAUAGAUGAACACACUCUAUAAAAAAGGACUAGUCCUGAAAUUCCACCAGAUGUUACAAUAAAGUGCCAUUAGUACAUCAUGCAGAGAUCUAAAUCCUAGACCCCCUUCUUUCUCUCGUACACAUAAAUUAGUCCAUGCUGCCCAAUGUCUGCUUCUUCCCCCUAUUGUAUUACUCCAAAAAAAACUGAGCAAACAUCCUAUGCAUUUGCCUUAUCACCCCAUCCGGUGGGUUUAAGGCUGAUAAUAACUGGAUGGGCAUCCCCUAUAACACAUGUUUAAUCAAUACUGCUUUUCCUCCAAAGGAUAACAUCUUACCUUUCCAUGAUUGCAACCUGUUCAUGAUCUCUGAGUAUAGGACUAUAGAAAUCCUUCAUCCUUUACUAUUGAAUAUGGGAAAUCCCAAAUAUGUAAAGGGGAAAUCCUUUCUUGUUAUACCAGUCACCACUUCUACAGUCACCUAUAUAUCCUUUGUUAUUGAGUGAUGCAAGUAAAUUGCACUUUUCUCCUUAUUUACCUUCUGCCCUGAUGUAUUCUUAUAGUCCCCAAGUAUUUCCAUAAUCAACUGAAGUGAGAACACAUCUGCAAAUGUAAAAAAUAAUCACAUCAUAUGCAUAAUAUGCCAAGUGAUUCACCAUAGGACUCUACUUUGGCGUUCCAAAUCUCUUAAAUUGUGGUACAUUGUACAAUUGACUCAAGUUCGUAGUCAAUACAUCUGUUGUCAAUAUGAAUAGAGUAGGAGAUAGAGGAUCACUGUAACGACCCCCUAGGUCGUUAUGGGGGAUUUUCCUUGCUAGUACCUUCCCGAGAAUAGAAAUGAGCUUAAUGGGAACUCAAAAAGUUAGAAGUCUAAAAACUGAAACUUGUGUUAGUUGUGGUUGUGCAUUUUCUGAAAAUUAUCUUCAUUUCCGUUGGGGGGUGACUUAGUAAAUUAGAGCUCCGUUGGGAAUUUUGAGGCCACGGGUAAGUCCAUAGCUUGUUUUUAUGUAUAUGUGCAUGUUUGGAUUGCUUCUGUAGGGCCUCGGAUUGGUGUUGGAAUUUUUGGGUGAAAAACUAGUGGAAAAACCCGAGCUACUGUUAAAUAUGGACCACUACAACGGUUGUGGUACUGCUGUAGCGAGUAGGUGGUCGCCACCGCGAGAGCAGGAAAAGUUAAUGAGGUCUGUCAUAGCGGGACCUCCGGAGCGAAAAUUUGACUGCUGCAGUGGUCGACGGGGGGCUGAAUCAGCGUUUUAUAUUCUUUAUUUCGAACUCAUUCCCCACAUAACUCCAAAACAGUUCCCAAGAACACUUGUGGCGAUUCUCUAAGGCUAGGGCUAAAAUACUCCUGAAAGGUAAGAGGGUAAGAAGGCGAGGCUCCCAGCGUUCGCGCUUAGCUGGGGGGAAGAGGUGUGGGCAAGUGGGCCUCUUCAUAGGGACAUUGAAAGUGCAGAAUCAAACACUUUCACAUUCUCUGGAACAAUUCUGGGCAUUUUCUCUAUUGGGUUGACCUACGAUAGGCCUGUAUAUCCUUAUUUGCAUAUCUGGACCUCCUUGAUUAUCCUUUUCUGCUUCUGUUAGUCGUUAUUAUACCUGGGCUUGGCCCAAAUAAAAUGUAAUUCAUUUUUGGGCUUUGUAAUAAUUUAAUUAGUUUAAAUUCAAUGUACUUAGUUUAUUUGUGAAUGUAUUCUAAUAUUGUGCAUACCCAUUUGUAUCCUUGUCCAUCCAAACCCGUUGGUGGGUCCCAAUGGGGCCCACUAGCGAGAUCGAGUGUA
Long non-coding RNA from Lycium barbarum (goji berry), 3278 nucleotides. RefSeq lists it as uncharacterized. The transcript has 3 exons. The record is from RefSeq and is a predicted model, not a curated record. Lineage: Eukaryota; Viridiplantae; Streptophyta; Magnoliopsida; Solanales; Solanaceae.